Molecule: ribosomal RNA, 490 nt
Filed under: uncultured bacterium
Lineage: Bacteria
Description: partial 16S ribosomal RNA
Rfam family: Bacterial small subunit ribosomal RNA
Source: RNAcentral
AUUGAACGCUGGCGGCAUGCCUUACACAUGCAAGUCGAACGGCAUCGCGGGAAAGCUUGCUUUCCUGGCGGCGAGUGGCGAACGGGUGAGUAGCACAUCGGAACGUACCGGCUAGUGGGGGAUAACCCGUCGAAAGACGGGCUAAUACCGCAUACGCUCUUCGGAGGAAAGCAGGGGACCUUUGGGCCUUGCGCUAGCCGAGCGGCCGAUGUCCGAUUAGCUAGUUGGUGGGGUAAAGGCCUACCAAGGCGACGAUCGGUAGCGGGUCUGAGAGGACGAUCCGCCACACUGGGACUGAGACACGGCCCAGACUCCUACGGGAGGCAGCAGUGGGGAAUCUUGGACAAAGGGGGCAACCCUGAUCCAGCAAUGCCGCGUGGGUGAAGAAGGCCUUCGGGUUGUAAAGCCCUUUCGGCAGGGAAGAAAUCGGCGGGGCGAAUAACCCUGCUGGAUGACGGUACCUGCAGAAGAAGCACCGGCUAACUACGUG